RNAcentral lists this ribosomal RNA (482 nucleotides) under uncultured Desulfosporosinus sp. RNAcentral describes it as "bacterial SSU rRNA". It matches the Rfam family "Bacterial small subunit ribosomal RNA", at positions 37 to 488 of the family's 1533-position model. Lineage: Bacteria; Bacillati; Bacillota; Clostridia; Eubacteriales; Desulfitobacteriaceae. The record is from RNAcentral.
UGGCGGCGUGCGUAACACAUGCAAGUCGAACGGAGAAUUAUCUAAGUUUACUUAGAUAAUUUUUAGUGGCGGACGGGUGAGUAACGCGUGGGUAACCUGCCCUUUAACACCGGGACAACCCUUGGACAACGAGGGCUAAUACCGGAUAGAGUUAAGCCUUGGCACCAAGGCAUAAGGAAAGAUGGCCUCUGAAGAUGCUAUCGAUAAAGGAUGGACCCGCGUCUGAUUAGCUAGUUGGUGGGGUAAAGGCCUACCAAGGCGACGAUCAGUAGCCGGCCUGAGAGGGUGAACGGCCACACUGGGACUGAGACACGGCCCAGACUCCUACGGGAGGCAGCAGUGGGGAAUCUUCCGCAAUGGACGAGAGUCUGACGGAGCAACGCCGCGUGUAUGAUGAAGGUCUUCGGAUUGUAAAGUACUGUCUUUAGGGAAGAAUGGUUUUCUUGAAAACAUUGAGAAGACAUGACGGUACCUAAGGAGGA